Molecule: long non-coding RNA, 1367 nt
Organism: Hippocampus zosterae (dwarf seahorse)
Lineage: Eukaryota; Metazoa; Chordata; Actinopteri; Syngnathiformes; Syngnathidae
Exons: 2
Source: RefSeq, a predicted model, not a curated record
CUGACGAGCUACAAUCUUUGGCUGAUGAAACCUGAAGCACUCACUUUUCAUCUCUUCCAUGUAAGGUUGGUCAAAACAUGGAAAAUAAAUUGCACAUUUGAAAAGGAAAAGAAGAAAAGUAUUCAAUACACCGCCCAUAUCCUUAACAAUUAUUUUGCAUUUAAAACCAAAAAAGGUUUCUAAGCCUGAAAAUAUAACCGGGAAAAAUGACUUCCAAAGUGGAGGUUUUGGAUUUGGAUGACAUUAUUCGUUCAAGUGGAAACGCUGAUCAUGGUUGUCCUUGAAAAAUAUAGUUAGCUAAAUAGUCUUAACUUUUUCAUUUCCUUGUUCAAAGUCACAACCUUGCAUUACGCUUUUAAACAAUUUGGGGAAAUACAGCUGACGGCAUGUCUUUGAAUCUUCUGGUAGGUUUACCAACACCAUAGGAGUUGGAGACACACGUGGAUGUAUUUGAAGGCACACUAAAAUGCCCUGCUUCUUUAUGUCACAUGGACUAAGUCAAAAGAAAACGGUGGAGAUAUGAGGAAGAGAAUUGUGCACAGGCACUAGUGUGGUUCAUCCUUGGUUGCAAUUUUCAGAUGCCCCGAGGGUGCCACAUCAUCUCCUCAAACAAAUAGACAUAAAUAUUAACACUAUGGGAAUUUCCAGCCAUCAUACCACUCAGGAAGUGGCUACCAAAUAUGCAUAUCAACCCAAGAACCAAAGUACAAGACCUUGUGAAGAUGCUGGCUGAAGCUCGUAUUAUGAGCCACAGGCAGAUUCUAAAAGGCAAAUGCACACAAGAGCCAUUACCUUAUUUUUUAAGACUCAACUCAACUUUGCUUGUAAAGACAUGUCCCCGGUGGUCUGAUGAGACAAAAACUGAACUGUUUUGCCACAAUGAGCAUUGUUACAUUUGGAGGGAAAGGGAAAAACAUGUGGUUGAGUUGCUUUUGCUGCAGGAGGUACUGGGUUACGUAAUGGGAUAGAUGGUAUCGUGAGGAAAGAUCAAUUUGUGGAAAUAGGAAAGCAACACGUCAAGACAUCAGCCAGCAAGUUAAAAGUUUGGGCGCAAAUGGACAAUGACCAAAAGCAAUCUUGCCAAACUGGUUCCAAAGCGGCUUAUGUCGAGUAAAGUCAAAUGUUUUUGCCUCGCCUUCCACAAGCCCCUGAUCUCAAUGCUGUUGAAACUGUAUGGGCUUAUGUGUCUUCUGUUCUUUUUAAAUAUAUUUAGAGUGGAUCUAAACUUCUGUUUUCAAGUGUAGUUUGAGACUGACAGACAUUUCAACACACAACCAACCCAACGUCACCCUCAUGUUUCGCUGCUGCUUAUUUUUAAAGGAACUAGAGUGUUGUGUUACAUUGGCUGAUAAACAGGCAUGAGCAAC